This 264-nucleotide ribosomal RNA is filed under the name uncultured bacterium. RNAcentral's name for it is "partial 16S ribosomal RNA". It matches the Rfam family "Bacterial small subunit ribosomal RNA", at positions 90 to 354 of the family's 1533-position model. The record is from RNAcentral.
UUCGAGUGGCGGACGGGUGAGUAACGCGUGGGUAACCUGCCUUACACAGGGGGAUAACACCUGGAAACAGGUGCUAAUACCGCAUAAGCGCACAGGGCCGCAUGGCCCGGCGUGAAAAACUCCGGUGGUGUAAGAUGGACCCGCGUCUGAUUAGCUUGUUGGCGGGGUAGGGGCCCACCAAGGCGACGAUCAGUAGCCGGCCUGAGAGGGUGGACGGCCACAUUGGGACUGAGACACGGCCCAAACUCCUACGGGAGGCAGCAG